CUCUGUUUGGCCUUUGUACGCAGCUACGAGAAGGCGCUCUGAAAGUGCAGCGACCGCAUCUUGCUGGCUCAUGAAUUAGGAAAGAAAGGUUUUCAGGGAAGCGGUAGACAAGUUCCUUCAGCUCAACACGAAGUCACUGGCCCGGCCUGGCACCCAGAGGUAAAGAAUAGCAGAAAAAGAGAGAGGAACUCUCGCAAACCCAUCCUGCUCCUGCUCACUGGGUCAUUAGAAACAAAACAGAUCUGGUGAAGGGUCUGCUGUAAAGCAGCUUGAUUUUCACGGACUGCUCCCUCCUGCCAGCAGAGGACCUGUAACACUGCCCCGAUUGAAGUCAGGGAACAAUUCACAGAUCGGAGGAACAUUUCUGAAUGACGCUCAGAUGACAGAGAAACGAAGUUUGCAUAAUUUCAGCAGUAAUGCAAGAAAAGAUGAGUGUGCGUGUUGUAAGGGAGGGAGGGAUGCAGAAAGGGUUGAAAUCUGUAAUAAACUGCCUCCAAGAAAACAGGAAAAUGCUUGCUUUGUGGGAGCAGCGGAGCCCAGACACUCCACCCUCCUCGGCAGAGAGUUCCAGCACAGUGACUGCGGCAGCACAGGAGACAAGGGUCUGGCUGAGCAGCUGUUCCCGACGUUUGUCUCACAAAUACUCCUCUGAACAGUCUCUGCCGGGGAGGGGGAAGGGAGUAAACAGGGAACUGAGCCCCUUCAGAAGCUGUUCUGAGUGCUG
RNAcentral lists this long non-coding RNA (724 nucleotides) under Homo sapiens (human). RNAcentral describes it as "HSALNT0335602". The record is from RNAcentral. Lineage: Eukaryota; Metazoa; Chordata; Mammalia; Primates; Hominidae.